This 468-nucleotide ribosomal RNA is filed under the name uncultured bacterium. RNAcentral describes it as "partial 16S ribosomal RNA". It matches the Rfam family "Bacterial small subunit ribosomal RNA", at positions 28 to 507 of the family's 1533-position model. The record is from RNAcentral.
GACGAACGCUGGCGGCGUGCUUAACACAUGCAAGUAGAACGGAAAGGCCCGGCGCUUGCUCUUCUUUCGUGUGUCGAACAGGUGAGUAACACGUGAGUAACCUCUCCCUUACAUUGGGGUAUCAUUAUGAAAAAGGAUCUCUUAUCGCACAUAACCUCCUGCUGCAUAGUGCGUGUUGGUGAGAUUCGGCGGUUCGGCAUGGACACGCGGACCAUCGUCGUGUUGGUGGGGUAGUGGCGUACUAGCGCUUCGACGAGUAGCCGGCCUGAGAGGGUGACAGGCCACAGUGGGACUGGGAUAGGGGCCAGACUGCUACGGGAGGCAGCGGUGGGGAAUAGUGCACAAUGGGCGGAGGCCUGAUGCAACAACGCCGCGUGCGAGAUGACGGCCUUAAGGUUGGAAACCGCUUUCGCCUGUGACGAAGCGAGAGUGACGGUAAUGGGUAAAGAAGCAACGGCUAACUACGUG